GUUCACUUUGGCAGCACAUAUACUAAAAUUGGAACCACACAGAGAUUAGCAUGGCUCCUGCACAAGGAUGACACAUAAAUUUGUGAAACAUUCCAUAUUUAA
Small nuclear RNA from Octodon degus (degu), 102 nucleotides. The record is from RefSeq and is a predicted model, not a curated record. Lineage: Eukaryota; Metazoa; Chordata; Mammalia; Rodentia; Octodontidae.